This 546-nucleotide long non-coding RNA is filed under the name Lathyrus oleraceus (garden pea). RNAcentral describes it as "Pisum sativum (pea) long non-coding RNA (PSAT_LNC040815)". Lineage: Eukaryota; Viridiplantae; Streptophyta; Magnoliopsida; Fabales; Fabaceae. The record is from RNAcentral.
UGAGAUUGCCAUUGUUGGGGAAGUUUGAGUUCACAAGGUGAGAGAGAUGAGAAGAAGACGAGCUUCUGUUUUGCUUUUUUUUCGUUUCCAUUUUUCUGUUUCCUUUUUUUAAUUUUUUAAUUCUUUUUUUUAAGUUGUUUUUUAACAGAGAUAAAAAAAAAACAUAAAAAUGGUUAUAUGUUAUUUAUUUUUUGUUUUAGCCGGUUCAUAUACUUAAGGUAGUAUUUCAGUAGCAUAUGAUCUUGAGUGGUCUGGUGGAGAGAAGUGAUUUCAUGGUCUUGAGUGGGGUGGGUUCAAUACCCGGGUUUGUUGCUUUGGUUUUCCAGCAUUUUUUGAUCUUUCCAUAUUUUUCUAGCCUUACCAUUUAACUAACAUGUUUCUAUCAUUUAUUCAUUUUUAUUGUUUUAUUUUUAAUAUGACUUAUGUGAUUAUUCAUUUUUUUUUAGGAUCUAUGUGAAUUAUUAUAUUUGUGUUUGUUCAUUUCAUUUGUACAAAUUAUUUGCCUUUAUGUGUGGGUUAUGUUACAAUCCUGAUAAAUCAUCACAA